AGAGAAAGCAUCAGCAGGUCAACCAUGACGCAGAAGCAUCCACGAGCUCGUACAUCAGCUCACACCACAGCAGAAACAACCAUGUCGUCAUCAGUCCAGCAUUAGAGAGACGACGACGAUGCAAUGCACAAGAGCUAGCUGGAGAGCACACCAGCAUUUCCGGACACGAUUCCAGCCGGAGCACCGCACACUCGCCCAGAUCCGGACACUUCUCAACUACUCGCUUGCAAGAAUGAUCAUAAUCUCUCCUUACAUUGCAAGAGAAGGUUACAAGACAGCUACUAGCACACUACUAGCGGUAGGAUUACAACUAGAGGAGGUGGGGGGCAAGAACAGCAAGGAACGGGACGGGGGAGGAACAGAGCUGCUACUAGCCUAGCACGGACACGGAUUAUUAACUCGCUUUGUUCGAACUGACGAACUACUACUUA
RNAcentral lists this long non-coding RNA (431 nucleotides) under Sorghum bicolor (sorghum). RNAcentral's name for it is "long non-coding RNA (SBIC_LNC000037)". The record is from RNAcentral. Lineage: Eukaryota; Viridiplantae; Streptophyta; Magnoliopsida; Poales; Poaceae.